CCUACGGGAGGCAGCAGUGGGGAAUUUUGGACAAUGGGCGAAAGCCUGAUCCAGCAAUGCCGCGUGCAGGAUGAAGGCCCUCGGGUUGUAAACUGCUUUUGUACGGAACGAAAAGCCUGAGGCUAAUAUCCUCGGGUCAUGACGGUACCGUAAGAAUAAGCACCGGCUAACUACGUGCCAGCAGCCGCGGUAAU
Molecule: ribosomal RNA, 194 nt
Filed under: uncultured bacterium
Lineage: Bacteria
Description: partial 16S ribosomal RNA
Rfam family: Bacterial small subunit ribosomal RNA
Source: RNAcentral